This 1844-nucleotide long non-coding RNA is filed under the name Canis lupus familiaris (dog). Its description in RNAcentral is "lncRNA (ENSCAFG00000057340.1)". The record is from RNAcentral. Lineage: Eukaryota; Metazoa; Chordata; Mammalia; Carnivora; Canidae.
UUUUUUUUUUUUUUUUUUUUUUUUUUUUUACGUCUCUUGCUGUGAUUUUGUUCUGUUCUUUCAUCUGGGACAUAUUCCUCUGUCUUCUCAUUUUAUCUAGGUCUCUGUGUCUGUUUCUCUGUGUUAGAAAAAAUCAGUUGCCUCCUGCUCUUUAAAGUAAUGGUCUUAUGAAGAAGAGGUCCUCUUGUGCCCUGCAGUGCAAUGUCCUCUGUUGCCCAGAAUCUGGUGCUUCAGGGCUGUCUCCUAUGUGUAUUGCACGUACCCUACUAUUGGGGCUGAGCUGCUUUCAUCUUCAGCCCAGUCCUCUGUAAUGGCUCUCUUUGCUGAUGUCAUUAAUGGGCCAGUCUGGGGCCAUGUUGGGUUUGAGUUGAGUCAGACCAGGUGUUUACCAGACGUGUAGUAGCACUGAACUGCAAGGUACUUUCCCUCUGUUGCUCCCUGAGAAACUUUCACUGGGAGGCAGGGUCUGCAGUCAUACCAGAUGUCUGCCCUCAGCCCAUUGGUGGGGCCUCAGUCAGACCUAUGUGUGUGGUUAUCUUUUCUUCCUCCUGGUAUAGGAGUCACUUUGGAGUUGUGCUGGCCCCUGUUGGGACUACUUACACACUUUCAGGCUUGGGGCCUGUUUUUUGGAUAGGUUUUGGCCAAAUGCAUAUUGGAAGGGGCAGGUCUGUACAGAAACCUGGGGCUGGGGCCUAUGGUGCCAGCAAGGUCUGGGCUGGUGGGAGGGAAACUGCUAGGGGCUGAGGCAGGUCAGGUUGGAGGGGGUAGAUCUACAGAAGCUAUGUGGGGGUAGGAUGUGUGGUGUUAGGAAAGUUUGCGUGGGUCUGCCGUGGGAGGGGACCUGGAUCAGAGGCCUAGCUGGAGAGGCAUGUCUGUAGGAGAAUGUGGGCAUUGGUGUGCUAUUGUCAAAUUAGGUAGCAAGUAUAAGUGCUGACUAGUUCCUGCUGGUGUCUGUGUGUAAUGCUGGGGGGUAGGGAAGGGAAAUGGCUCCCACCAGCUCCUUUGUGCCUGGAGAAAUCAUAUAACCAAAUCCCUGCCCCUCCAGCACAUGCUCUGAGAUUAGCAAGCAAAUCUCCAUUCUUCUACCCCAGGCAUUUUUCAAAUUGCUGCCUCUAUGCUGUAUCUCUGUAGGGCUCUUUGUUGUACUGAUUUUUAAAGUUCCUGGUGUUAAGUCCUGCUGAUUGUAAGAACUCUUGAAGUUCUGGCCCCUCUGGUUUUCAAAGCUAAAUGUUUUGGGGUUUGUGCCUGGGGUGUCUGGAUGUCUGUUUCUUUCUCUUCCCCACCCUGGCAUCUCUCCCUCCCUCAGACAGUCCUGUGGGGCCAUUUAGCUCCCAACAAUGCCUCCACCCUUCCUACCCUUGGAUGUGGCCUCUUCUCUACAUUUAGCUGUGGAGAGUUUGUUCUGCCAGUGUUUGUGUUGUUCUCUGGAUUAUUUAUACUGAUGUGAGUGUUAUCUAGUUGUAUCUGUGGGACAAAGUAAGCUUAGGAUCCUCUUAUUCCGCAUCUUACUCAGAAUCUAGAACAGUUAAUUUUGUAUAUGACUGUCUCCCCAUAUAGAUCCUAAAUUCAUUGAGGUUGGAAAUUGUUGAUUUUCAUCUUUCUGUAGGAUGGAUACGAACCUAAUAAGCACAAAUGAUUUAGGGAUAUGUGUGGCAAUGAGUCCUCAUACAUGCACACUAGUGAAGAGGGCUUUACCACUGAGGAGUAUCCUGGCUAUACCAAAACUAACACUCACACAAAUGAAGAACCAGAGAGACAUGAAAGUCAUUUGGGGUUAGAGACAGAAAAGUCACCUAUGUGGUUUAAAAUCUUUUAUUGAUUUCAGCAUAAAUUUCUAACUUCUU